UUUACAUAUUAAUUUAAGUUGUUGAUUUUUAAUAUUGGUGACUACUGCGGCAAGGAAAAACGUACGAAGUCCCAUCCAAUAAACAGAGAAGAUAAUAUCGCGAUCCAUUGAGAAAAGAAGGCCACGAUAAAGAAGAAUGGGUCAGUAUUCAAAAGCUGCUGAAAAAAUAUGGAAAAAGAACGAGUUCUUGGCAUACAAUGCUGACACGAGAAAUAUUCUAUUAAUUACAAAAAAAGGAUGCUAAAUGACAGCUGGGCCUUCAGUUUACAAAUUAUAAA
Molecule: long non-coding RNA, 278 nt
Organism: Helicoverpa zea (corn earworm)
Lineage: Eukaryota; Metazoa; Arthropoda; Insecta; Lepidoptera; Noctuidae
Exons: 3
Source: RefSeq, a predicted model, not a curated record